AAAAGAUUAUGCGAUACUGAAUAUUUAAGCCCUUUAAGAAGACCUUUCACUUUUGUUGUCAUUUUACUUUACGCUAGCGUAAAAAAAAGAAAAAACUCAAGAACAACCAAAAUAAUAAAAUAAGAAAUAGAUGAUUAUAAUACAAUGUGUCGUCCGAGCAUUAAUAAAGAAAAAGAAGGGCAAGAGAACAUCAUUCAUUCAUGGUUCUACAGAGGAGUUUGGUUGGAUUGAGAUGCCAACAUUCCCUCUAUAGAAAAGAAAAUGGAAGUGAUGAUUGAUGUUGAAUAAGUUUUGUAUUAUUGGCCUGCCUCUUAGCUAGGAUGAUGAAUAUAAUGGUCUUCUGGUUUUUCAGGUAAUGAACUCAGACAAAUCUUGAUUGUUGAAGGCCAUGAACAACAACAACAACAACAACAAUCAAGAAGAAGAGAAAGAGGGAGAUUAAUUAAUGGGUGGUUUAGACGAAAAAAAAAUCUCAAAAUGUUGGGAAAAGGCUAACAAGCAACACAUGAUUAUUUUUUGUUGCAAACUGCAUCGUCUUCCAAUCUAAACUCUCCUCCAUAUCCUUCCCACCAAUAGACUUCCUAUUUUUCAGCCACAUCCACCAUAUUACCACUUUACUAAUAAAAGCCAUCUUUUUCUUUUGUUUUUUUUCAUCUUGCCCUUUGAUUUCAUUUUCUCUAAUAUACAAAAUUUAUAGAGUUAUUUAUGAUUAUAUAUGACUAUACUAGGUUUGUAACUUGCCCGUUCGUCCGUUUUUAUUUUAUUGAUAUAUUGUGUAAAAUUAUCUAAAACAUAUAUAAAUAUUUAGUGGUAACGAUUAUUUAGGUUUCAAGGUUUCGGUGGACCUGAGUUAAAUAAUUUAGUCAUACAGAGAAUGUGGAUUCAAGAAUCAUACGAUAUACUCUAGAGAAGGAUGAAUACGAGCCCGACUUUUUCGGAGGUAUAGUUUGAGGCGAUUUCUCGAGGCCUGUCUGCGAUCUAGGGUUUUCCCGAUGGUGGUUCCGGCGACGUCGCCAACGACGGCUAGCCCGUACCGUAAGCCCCAUGCUAACGUCCGCAGCCACCGGGCGAAAUAGAACGAACGAACCUUCAGAUUGUGCUUUUGUUGGAGAAGGAAGGCUCUUGAGAUCAUCUGUAGGAUUCAAAGGGCCACUCAUCGUCGUCUCUGGGGUAGAUUUGAAGUCAUGCAUCUGCAACAUAUUAUAUAUACUCACAAAAGUGAGUCUUACUGUAUAAUUUGAACUAAUGUAUUGCACUAAUUAAUAAACCAACAAGACAUACCCAACUAGGGGUGGUGGAAGAAGGGCCAUCGGAUCCGAUAUGUGCAACAUGUUUUACAUCGGUAGGAAACCCAAUCUCGAUUUCUUGUUCUUUCUCAUCUGCUAAAGCAAGGAAUCACUUUAUAUGAAAUUUAUGAUCAUCGAAGAAAGUAGUGGAAAAAAUAUUUUAACGUUUAAUUAAAAUGACUUACUAAAAAGAUUAUGCGAUACUGAAUAUUUAAGCCCUUUAAGAAGACCUUUCACUUUUGUUGUCAUUUUACUUUACGCUAGCGUAAAAAAAAGAAAAAACUCAAGAACAACCAAAAUAAUAAAAUAAGAAAUAGAUGAUUAUAAUACAAUGUGUCGUCCGAGCAUUAAUAAAGAAAAAGAAGGGCAAGAGAACAUCAUUCAUUCAUGGUUCUACAGAGGAGUUUGGUUGGAUUGAGAUGCCAACAUUCCCUCUAUAGAAAAGAAAAUGGAAGUGAUGAUUGAUGUUGAAUAAGUUUUGUAUUAUUGGCCUGCCUCUUAGCUAGGAUGAUGAAUAUAAUGGUCUUCUGGUUUUUCAGGUAAUGAACUCAGACAAAUCUUGAUUGUUGAAGGCCAUGAACAACAACAACAACAACAACAAUCAAGAAGAAGAGAAAGAGGGAGAUUAAUUAAUGGGUGGUUUAGACGAAAAAAAAAUCUCAAAAUGUUGGGAAAAGGCUAACAAGCAACACAUGAUUAUUUUUUGUUGCAAACU
RNAcentral lists this long non-coding RNA (2001 nucleotides) under Linum usitatissimum (flax). Its description in RNAcentral is "long non-coding RNA (LUSI_LNC002559)". The record is from RNAcentral. Lineage: Eukaryota; Viridiplantae; Streptophyta; Magnoliopsida; Malpighiales; Linaceae.